CACCAGCCCCUCGAGUGGUGGGGAUGAUUAUUUGGCCUAAAGCGUCCGUAGCCGGCCGGGUAAGUUUCCCGUUAAAUCCAGCGUCUCAAGCGUUGGACUGCGGGAAAUACUGCCUGGCUAGAGAGUGGGAGAGGUCAGCGGUAUUCUGGGGGUAGGGGCGAAAUCCUUUGAUCCCCGGAGGACCACCAGUGGCGAAGGCUGCUGACUAGAACACGUCUGACGGUCAGGGACGAAAGCUGGGGUAGCGAACCGGAUUAGAUACCCGGGUAGUCCCAGCCGUAAACGAUGCAUGCUAGGUGUUGGGUUGGCCACGAGCCACCCCAGUGCCGCAGGGAAGCUGUUAAGCAUGCCGCCUGGGAAGUACGAUCGCAAGAAUUGAAACUUAAAGGAAUUGGCGGGGAGCACCACCAGGCGUGAAGCCUGCGGUUU
RNAcentral lists this ribosomal RNA (429 nucleotides) under uncultured archaeon. RNAcentral's name for it is "bacterial SSU rRNA". It matches the Rfam family "Archaeal small subunit ribosomal RNA", at positions 474 to 903 of the family's 1478-position model. The record is from RNAcentral.